GGGGAAUAUUGCACAAUGGGGGAAACCCUGAUGCAGCGACGCCGCGUGAAGGAAGAAGUAUUUCGGUAUGUAAACUUCUAUCAGCAAGGAAGAUAAUGACGGUACUUGACUAAGAAGCCCCGGCUAACUACGUGCCAGCAGCCGCGGUAAUACGUAGGGGGCAAGCGUUAUCCGGAUUUACUGGGUGUAAAGGGAGCGUAGGUGGCAUGGCAAGUCAGAUGUGAAAGCCCGGGGCUCAACCCCGGGACUGCAUUUGAAACUGCCAGGCUGGAGUGCAGGAGAGGUAAGUGGAAUUCCUAGUGUAGCGGUGAAAUGCGUAGAUAUUAGGAGGAACACCAGUGGCGAAGGCGGCUUACUGGACUGUAACUGACACUGAGGCGCGAAAGCGUGGGGAGCAAACA
This 401-nucleotide ribosomal RNA is filed under the name uncultured bacterium. RNAcentral's name for it is "bacterial SSU rRNA". It matches the Rfam family "Bacterial small subunit ribosomal RNA", at positions 356 to 774 of the family's 1533-position model. The record is from RNAcentral.